This 481-nucleotide ribosomal RNA is filed under the name uncultured bacterium. RNAcentral's name for it is "bacterial SSU rRNA". It matches the Rfam family "Bacterial small subunit ribosomal RNA", at positions 329 to 802 of the family's 1533-position model. The record is from RNAcentral.
UUGCGACCCCCUACGGGAGGCAGCCGUGGGGAAUAUUGCGCAAUGGGGGCAACCCUGACGCAGCCAUGCCGCGUGAAUGAAGAAGGCCUUCGGGUUGUAAAGUUCUUUCGGUAGCGAGGAAGGCAUUUAGUUUAAUAGACUAGAUGAUUGACGUUAACUACAGAAGAAGCACCGGCUAACCCCGUGCCAGCAGCCGCGGUAAUACGGAGGGUGCGAGCGUUAAUCGGAAUAACUGGGCGUAAAAGGCACGCCGGCGGUGACUUAAGUGAGGUGUGAAAGCCCCGGGCUUAACCUGGGAAUUGCAUUUCAUACUGGGUCGCUAGAGUACUUUAGGGAGGGGUAGAAUUCCACGUGUAGCGGUGAAAUGCGUAGAGAUGUGGAGGAAUACCGAAGGCGAAGGCAGCCCCUUGGGAAUGUACUGACGCUCAUGUGCGAAAGCGUGGGGAGCAAACAGGAUUAGAAACCCCGGUAGUCCAGAGAA